Molecule: ribosomal RNA, 900 nt
Filed under: uncultured Bacillota bacterium
Lineage: Bacteria; Bacillati; Bacillota
Description: bacterial SSU rRNA
Rfam family: Bacterial small subunit ribosomal RNA
Source: RNAcentral
GGAUCCAGACUUUGAUCCUGGCUCAGGACGAACGCUGGCGGCGUGCUUAACACAUGCAAGUCGAACGAGAAUCUACUGAAAGAGUUUUCGGACAAUGGAUGUAGAGGAAAGUGGCGGACGGGUGAGUAACGCGUGAGGAACCUGCCUUGAAGAGGGGGACAACAGUUGGAAACGACUGCUAAUACCGCAUGACGCGUAGAGGUCGCAUGAUCUUUAUGCCAAAGAUUUAUCGCUUCAAGAUGGCCUCGCGUCUGAUUAGCUAGUUGGCGGGGUAACGGCCCACCAAGGCGACGAUCAGUAGCCGGACUGAGAGGUUGAACGGCCACAUUGGGACUGAGAUACGGCCCAGACUCCUACGGGAGGCAGCAGUGGGGAAUAUUGGGCAAUGGGCGCAAGCCUGACCCAGCAACGCCGCGUGAAGGAAGAAGGCUUUCGGGUUGUAAACUUCUUUUAAGAGGGAAGAGCAGAAGACGGUACCUCUAGAAUAAGCCACGGCUAACUACGUGCCAGCAGCCGCGGUAAUACGUAGGUGGCAAGCGUUGUCCGGAUUUACUGGGUGUAAAGGGCGUGCAGCCGGGUCUGCAAGUCAGAUGUGAAAUCCAUGGGCUCAACCCAUGAACUGCAUUUGAAACUGUAGAUCUUGAGUGUCGGAGGGGCAAUCGGAAUUCCUAGUGUAGCGGUGAAAUGCGUAGAUAUUAGGAGGAACACCAGUGGCGAAGGCGGAUUGCUGGACGAUAACUGACGGUGAGGCGCGAAAGUGUGGGGAGCAAACAGGAUUAGAUACCCUGGUAGUCCACACUGUAAACGAUGAAUACUAGGUGUGCGGGGACUGACCCCCUGCGUGCCGCAGUAAACACAAUAAGUAUUCCACCUGGGGAGUACGAUCGCAAGGUUGCAACU